This is an RNA transcript of Solenopsis invicta (red fire ant), 839 nucleotides long. RefSeq lists it as uncharacterized. The transcript has 3 exons. NCBI's taxonomy places the organism in Eukaryota, Metazoa, Arthropoda, Insecta, Hymenoptera, Formicidae. The record is from RefSeq and is a predicted model, not a curated record.
CUGGCAUUGCAAAAAAGUUUUGAGACCAUAGACAUAGUACAAAGUCUAUGUUUGAGACUCAAAACCAAGAGAUGUCAAAUGUAAAAUGCAGUAAAAUGUGGUCAAGUUGAUUAAGACCGAUUAAGACCCUCUACCGGAGGUCCCAGGUUUGAACCCUGAUGGCUGAGGUCAUGGUGUAAGUAUACCAGGUGAAACAUUCCCGUGGAUGCGCAGUCGUUCAAAUAAUGGCUACUGUUAGACCAAUCAGAAAUUUGUCCCAAAAAGCAUUAUAGCUACCAUUCUAAUCUAACCGUUACGAGUAAGUAAGGUUAAUGAAAUCCACGAUUUUAUGUGUUUACAUACGUGUAUUCAUUAACAGAUAAAUUUAAACAUUUUCUAUAUCUACAGUAGUAAGACCAGUGUAAGAUACAAUGCCGACGUGCUGUAUACAAAAUUGCAAGAGUCGCACACAUUGCACGAAUACAAAAGGGAUAUCAUUUUAUAGAUUCCUAAAUGAAGAGAAUAUUCGUCAGAAAUGGAUAAAUGCUUGUCAAAGGAGUGAAGGAAAUAUAAAAAUUGAUUCUGAGAAAAAACGAACAUACCAUCGUACUUUGAUCUCCUACAAUGUAACAAAAAAAAAGAGCUUCUAAAACAUCUGAAAGGAAUGAUUGUCCAAGGAAUGAAAUAGAAGGAAUAGAGGUUUAUGAAAGAAAUGAAGAAAUUUGUGGAACAGAUGAAAGAGAAAGAGUUUGUUCAAAAAAUGAAACAAAAGUAAAAAAGAUUGAUGGAAAAAAUGAAAGAGAAGGAGAAAAAAAAGAAACAGGAACUUGUUAAAUCAAAGAUGAAAGGUAAGAUCAUAA